Molecule: unclassified non-coding RNA, 262 nt
Filed under: fungal sp.
Lineage: Eukaryota; Fungi
Description: partial internal transcribed spacer region
Rfam family: Eukaryotic small subunit ribosomal RNA (bases 1-46)
Source: RNAcentral
AAGUCGUAACAAGGUUUCCGUAGGUGAACCUGCGGAAGGAUCAUUAACACAGAACUUUUUUACAAAUCUCACACAUUUGUAAAAAACGUUUUUCAACUAAACCAGUGCUCCUUUUUUUUUCCCACACCUUCAACCCUUUAAUUUUAAUAAUUUUUCUAUUUGUCCAAAAACUUACAGUUUUUUGGUUACAACUUGAAAUAAAGUUGAACAUACAACUGUUAACAAUGGAUAUCUAGGCUCUCGUAACGAUGAAAAACGCAGC